CAGUCCCAUUUUAACAAGAAUAUAUACAGAUGUGAAAUAGGAACAUAGGGAAUCUGCAAAAUUUUUAUGAUCACUGCCCUAUGUAGUUUAAAAUUGAAGUAAAUGCAUACAGAAAAUAUUUGCAUGGUAAUACUAGAUAAAAGGCAAGAUAAGUCAGCAUAGGGAAUCCUUUAGAUUCAGAGUCAUGAUUGACUUUUCAAAUGGAUUAGACUCAUCUAGUGCCAGUUUUGCCCCUGGAAUAAUGUGGCUUUGAGAUAGUGGCUUCACAUUCUAUAUGGAUUCAUCUCUUUAUUCCUGUGGACUCUAUACCAUGUUCAGACAUCUUAUCUAACCUUCAUUGUUUACCUGGCGAUAGUGGCAAGUUAGGUAUACAUCCUAGCACCUAAACUCUAUGGACUGAUGUGUUCUAACUAAAAAGUCAUUAAGGAAAAGAUUCACAAAGUCAUUCAGGGUCUUGAAAGUCAAUAAAAAGUUACCCAGGAACCCUAAUGAAGAGAUAAUACUUGACUUGUUAGACACAAAUGCAAUGAAAUGUAUCAAUAAUUAAAACAUUGCAUCCUUUAUAAUUGUUUAUAUUCUUUGCUUUUAUAUUUCAAAACAAAAUCCUUUUGCUUAGCUUGUGUAUAUAUUAAUUAGACAAUUUUCAGAUAGUGUUCAUUUUUAGAACACAGAGUUAAUUAACAAGUAACCCUGUUAAUGGGCUUAAAUGAGGGAAAUAUUUCUGUAAUACAUAAUUGUAUAUUUGAACUUGAGUAGGGAUAUUUUGAGCCCUUGGGUCAUACAUUAAAUAAAACAUUUUGUGUCUUUUGAAAGAUUCCUGAUAAUACUUCUCCAUUCUUGCCUAUGAGCCCUGAAUAUAAUUCUGAUUUUAUUUUUCAAAAUGAUCUUCAUCUCCCUUUAUUGGAAAGUGUCACUUCAUCAAUCCUUUGGCAAUAAACUUCUGCUGUGGCUUGACCUCCCUCUGUUCUCGUGUGACUUUACAAUUCAUCCUUUAAGUGGAACUGUCAUUUUGGUAUGAUCCUUGGUUUAAUCCUGUUAAACUCCUGCAAGCAUUCCAUUUUAUAUAUGUUGAACACUUACUUGAAAUGUAAGACACUUUUACAAUCCAUUUUUCAUUUCUGAAGCCACUGCUCUACAGUAGAUUUACCAUUCACUCCUGAAACUGGGGUUUCCCAGCAGAUGGACGUUCAUGACAUUGUAUCAUCAUUGCUUUCAUUCACCGUAUCUGUCAUUUCUUUAUCUGUUACCUUUAUGCACGGACUUAAAUGUGUCCUGAAACUCAGCUAUGUUUCUAAGAGGGUAACAAAAUUCUCCCCCAAAUUCUGAGGGUGUAAGGUUGCUCUUUAUGUUGAAAGCACAUAGAGCAUUUUAUCUGGAAUUCGUAAGCCUGGUUUUAAUUCUUUAAUCAUGUACCAGCUGUAUGACUUGAGAAAGUCACAAUUCCCUUUAUUAAUCACAGGUACUAUCUACUUUAAAUAAUUGUCAAUGAUUCAACAAUCUCAAUGAAAAAAAGGUACAAAGGCAUAACCACCAUCUGUUUUACUAUACUAAGUUUAUUUGAUAGAGGUUUAGAGAAUCAAAGUGUAUUUAGCACCUAACACAUGCCAAGGACUGAACUUAGUGUUUUACAUUUAUUUGAAAAUGUUGCCCUUAAAAAUGCUUCAAAGAAAAAAGGUAAAUUAGUCUGUGUUUAUGUGUGGUAUAGAUCCAUUUUUUAUAUACCUAAAAGAAUAUAUACAACUUUGCAGUUCCUACAAGUCUCAGUAUCUUUACAUGAAAAUGGGGAUAAUAGUAUAAUUAAAUGAUAAAGAUUCCCUUAAAGACUAAUUAAAUCAUAUCACAUUUUAGCAAAAUAUCUCACAGAUAGUAAGUUUUUAGUAAAAAUUAAUUAGCAAAGCUUGUUGGACUGAUAGUGAUUGUGGAGGUAAUGGACAAUAAUUAGUUUCUAAUUUAUUAAUAACUGUGUAUCCCAAAUGUUUCUAACAUGGUUAAUGUUAUAUGCAAAGGAAAUAUGUAUUCCCUAUUAAAUUUUUUUUAAGGUGAGGUUGUGAUUAGAUAUUCUGGAAGGCCCACAAAACUCACUUAACUUCUAAGGGGGCUCAACUAUUUUAUGCACUGGAGUAUAUAGUUCUGUUAUCCUAAAGUAUCACCCCUGCAUAUUUUUGAGUUACAGUGGAUGGUUUCAAAUCUUCCCAAUGAAACUAAAAUCAACCAAUUUUGACCAUGUGUUUUAAAGGAUAAAAAUAUAAAUAAUAGGACUUCAAACCGAUGAUGACAUUAAUCUAUUGAGAUGCAGACAUUGUGACUUUCUAGCAUAUUUGUUGCUGUGAGGAACUAAAUGGCAGAUCUGAGUGACAAUGGUACACUUCCAUCUCAGUCCCAGAAACAAGGGCCCCAGAUCAUUCCUUUUAAUCAGUUGUCUUAGGUUGCAUUUGGAAAGUAAGGACUUUUUUUUUUUUUUUUUCCAGAUAUCAUUGGAAAUAGAGUUUUCUUAUUUGUCAACCACAGUUCCAUUGCCUGAAUUUUUAAGUAUUUUAUUUGCGUUUUGUUUGUCUCCAGGCUCUAAUUGUUUUUUAUUUCAGCAUGUGUAUUUUCCCAAUAAGAUUGCCUUCAACACAUGGCAAUUGAUUUUUAUUGAAUCCUACGAAGUACCUGGUUAAGUGCUAAUGACCUUUACCAUUUCAUAUGAAUUGUAUUGGAAUACCACUAGAAACUGACUCUGAAUUCAGAUUUCUGUUCAACCUAAAAUUUUGUCCAACUAUUGUUCCAGAAAUCUUAGUAUUUUGCAUAUAUGUAAAUGGUUCCAGAAAGGAGUUUCUAUUAUUUAAUUAAUUGUUUCUUAAAACAUUCUGCCUAUACUACUUAUGUAGUAUAAGAUGAUUUCUAGUAGUGCAUAAACUUUGUUUAUAAAUAGGGAUUUAACUUAAUGUACAUUAACAAAUGCAAUUGAUCUCAGUCCCAUUAUAUCAGAAAUACUACUUAUGUAAUUUCAAGAAGUUUGUCAAUUUAAGGUAGACUUAGAGAAAAUAUUAAAUGUGUAGAUGACGUAGGCUUUAGAAGCUUUGUGAAAGCAGUACAGAAUUUCGUACACCAUUGGUAAGAUAAGAUUAUUGGGGACAGAUGUGUUCAAACUCCCCAUCAAUGUUAUGAUUGGCAUGGGAAAAAGUUUGUGAUACAGUCCUUUUGGAAAACGUGUGAUUGAGAGUCCACUUGUGUAGGUGGCUAGGAGGAGAUGAAAAAAAAGAACCUUGAGGGUUUUGCAUGAGUGGGAAUUUGCAUGAGAGACAAAUAAUGAUGAAUGUUGUUACUGUGAUACUAAGGCAGAAUAAGCACAUAAAGAAACAAUAACAAUGGAUUUCAUGGCCAAAUAAACUACAUUAAACAAAUGUAUGCACUCUAGGUUUUCUUGUAAAUGUUAUAAAGCUAAUUGCACUGUGGAUUAAUAACAGUGGACUAAAACAUAAGUUAUUUUCUAAAUGUAUUUGACCAUGGAAACCUUCUCUUCAAAAAUUCCUAUUAAUAUUUAAGAGAAGCAGACUAUUUGGGGCAAUACUUGGUAACUG
RNAcentral lists this long non-coding RNA (3563 nucleotides) under Sus scrofa (pig). Its description in RNAcentral is "lncRNA (ENSSSCG00000054782.1)". Lineage: Eukaryota; Metazoa; Chordata; Mammalia; Artiodactyla; Suidae. The record is from RNAcentral.